CCUACGGGGGGCAGCAGUGGGGAAUAUUGCACAAUGGGGGAAACCCUGAUGCAGCGACGCCGCGUGAGUGAAGAAGUAUCUCGGUACGUAAAGCUCUAUCAGCAGGGAAGAAAAUGACGGUACCUGACUAAGAAGCCCCUGCCAAAUACGUGCCAGCAGCCGCGGUAAUACUUAGGGGGCAAGCGUUAGCCGGAUUUACGGGGGGGAAAGGGAGCGUAGACGGCAGCACAAGUCUGGAGUGAAAUCCCGGGGCUUAACCCCGGAACUGCUUUGGAAACUGUGCGUCUGGAGUGCAGGAGGGGUAAGCGGAAUUCCUAGUGUAGCGGUGAAAUGCGUAGAUAUUAGGAGGAACACCAGUGGCGAAGGCGGCUUACUGGACUGUAACUGACGUUGAGGCUCGAAAGCGUGGGGAGCAAACAGGAUUAGAUACCCCUGUAGUC
This 440-nucleotide ribosomal RNA is filed under the name uncultured bacterium. Its description in RNAcentral is "partial 16S ribosomal RNA". It matches the Rfam family "Bacterial small subunit ribosomal RNA", at positions 338 to 795 of the family's 1533-position model. The record is from RNAcentral.